This 117-nucleotide non-coding RNA is filed under the name Secundilactobacillus yichangensis. RNAcentral describes it as "FMN riboswitch (RFN element)". It matches the Rfam family "FMN riboswitch aptamer (RFN element)". From Rfam's summary of the family: The RFN element is a highly conserved domain that is found frequently in the 5'-untranslated regions of prokaryotic mRNAs that encode for flavin mononucleotide (FMN) biosynthesis and transport proteins. This element is a metabolite-dependent riboswitch that directly binds FMN in the absence of proteins. The record is from RNAcentral. Lineage: Bacteria; Bacillati; Bacillota; Bacilli; Lactobacillales; Lactobacillaceae.
CAUCUUCAGGGCAGGGUGUAAUUCCCGACCGGCGGUAAUAGUCCGCGACCUACUUUUUAGGAGUAGUUGAUUCGGUGUAACUCCGAAACCGACAGUAAAGUCUGGUAUAAAGAAGAU